Fundulus heteroclitus (mummichog) is the source of this 2296-nucleotide RNA transcript. RefSeq lists it as uncharacterized. The record is from RefSeq and is a predicted model, not a curated record. NCBI's taxonomy places the organism in Eukaryota, Metazoa, Chordata, Actinopteri, Cyprinodontiformes, Fundulidae. The transcript has 14 exons.
CAACAUCACACUUUAUGACUUUGCACGAGGGUUGGCAACACAUGCCAAUACCAGGCUGCCAGAAACAUUCAGACCACACGAUGGACGACUGCUGGAGCCUACCCUGUCAAAUAUUUCUCUUGCCAGUUCAGGGCAAGUCAAAGCCAAUUUGUCGUGGCUAUCCCAGAAAAAGGAGGUUCCUGAUUUUAAUGGCCACCCUAUCACCGGGUCAUCAGAGCGUUAUGCUCUGUAUGACCGAUUUCAUGAAGCCAACACUAAAGAUGCCAGAGAUGUUCUGCGAAGGGUUGAUCUCGCCCCAGAAUUAUGUGGCUGGCUGAACAGUCAAUGUGCCGAACAGCUGUUCUCGGGGAUGAGGAAGAAUAACUAUUUUUUAAAUAUGAUGACUCCUUCCUCUCACGUGUUUUUGAUGAGGAAUAUAUUACAUCACUACAACACAGCAAAGAAUUCAGCCACCAUAGCAAAUAUGAAAAAGAUGCUUGGUGUGGGGAUCGACAUCGGAUUUAAUUCUUAUGGUCAAACAGUGCUGGCCGGAAUUAAUGAGGCCCAAGAUCCCAGCACAACCGCAGAUGAGGCCCAAGACCCCAGCACAACCGCAGAUGAGGCCCAAGAUCCUGCCAUGGCCACAGAUCAUGUACCAAACACUGGAACGACAGAGGCUUCAGUACUUGUUCAAUCAGUGUGCAGACCAGACUGUUGGGGCCUACCCCAUUUAAGACAUCUGCUUGCCAGAUCAGGCAUCACAGAGUCACAGGUUGACUAUGUGCUCCAUGCCAAAAGACCAGAAACCGAGAUUAUUGGGACAAUUGGCACUACCAUCUUAUCACGGCAAGACUUCCGGUCACUUGGAUUGCAGCACAACUUUGAAGCAACAAUUGCCAACAGCUGCAUGGAGCUGAUUUGUGACAUGGCCUGGUGGAAGAAGAAGGAUGUAUAUGCAGCGGAUGCCUAUGUCGUUGCCACUUGGCAUGCACCAAGUUUCCAGGACCCUUUUCUUAAUUUACCGGCUGAUGCAGCAUCAAAGGAUCUCCUGAUUUUUCCUGUGUGGAAACCAGGACACUGGUUCCUCUGUCUCCUGAUGCCCAAAGCUUUCCGAAUAUAUCAGCUGGACUCAGCUGAUCCCUUGCGCUUUGGUGACGAGCAAUAUUUAGGCGUAUUCAGGUUUAACGUCUCUUUAAUUGGAACUGUUCCCCGUUCCCUAUGCAAUGCUGUUUGAAAGAAAACAACAUCCUUCAUGUUCCGAAGGUUUGUGCUGUUUUGUUGUUUUCCAUGUUCUGAAACUCAUAGACAGCAGUUAUGAAAUAAGUAUUAGAAAAUUGACAUGGGGACAUUAGUUAGUACAUAGACUGUUCAUUCAUACACCAAUGGGCAAAUUUGCCACUAAACUACUUCAUUCACUCGAUUACUACAUCAAGCUUUAACUGUUGUCUAUGGCUUUAGGAAUAUAUGUGUUUGUGUGCAUGUGUAGUGGGGCAGUGAAGCAUUAUUUAAGUUAUCAAUACCAAAAGUCAAUCAGAAGAGAUCAUCUCUACUUUAAAUUGCACAUUUUAGUUGCACCUAGCUUCACUGCUCGUUCUGCAAAACGUGAAGGGUUUUGGUGGUGAGGGUUUUGUGCUACAACUCUUUGCCUGCUCAACUAAUGUUCUGUUUACUAUCUGUAGCUCAAUUGCCACACGUUUGGCUACUGGCCACUGGAAAGUCAUCAGAAACAUGGAGCCUCCAGGCCAGGCCAAUUCAAAUGACUGUGGAGUGUUCAUGGUUAUGUACGCUCUUUAUAUGGCCUUGGGGUGGAGAUUUGACUUCAGUCAGGAUGACAUGCCAUGGUUACGAAGGUGGUGGUGCCAUACGAUGCUUGCAAAUAUGACUCUCGCUGCAAACGCUAAUGACACUGCUUUGGCAUGUAAUGUCUUGCUAGCCGAAGAACCGGCAAGCAAAAUUCAACGUAUGGGGGACAUACAUCCCGAGGAAUCCCUUGAACAGAGAACCAUGACAAGAAUCAAUGGAGCAGUAUGCUGGAUACGGGACAACAUGUCUCUUUUCCGUGGACAUGUUGAACUGCCCAGCAUAUUGUCCAUGACAGCAGUGGAUCGACAGCAGUUCUUUCAGAACAUUGCCAAUGAUGAUGACAUCCAUGACCCAAGAGAAUGCCUCCUUUUUGUUUUUGAAUGUCAAGAAGAUUACACCAUUUUUUUUUUAUUCUUGUCCAGCUGUGUCGGCAAUGUUCAACACCCCUGCCCUUUCCCCUUAGCCAGAGGACGGGCACCACCCCUGUCCACCCCUGGCCCACCUACCACCUCAA